GUGCUCGCUUUGGCAGCACAUAUACUAAAAUUGGAACGAUACAGUGAAGAUUAGCAUGGCCCCUGCACAAGGGUAACAUGCAAAUUUGUGAAGUGUUCCAUAUUUUU
This is a small nuclear RNA of Dipodomys ordii (Ord's kangaroo rat), 107 nucleotides long. The record is from Ensembl. NCBI's taxonomy places the organism in Eukaryota, Metazoa, Chordata, Mammalia, Rodentia, Heteromyidae.